This 1832-nucleotide long non-coding RNA is filed under the name Mus musculus (house mouse). RNAcentral describes it as "long non-coding RNA chr2:122388507-122390339". Lineage: Eukaryota; Metazoa; Chordata; Mammalia; Rodentia; Muridae. The record is from RNAcentral.
AGAGAGCAUAUUUACAACCUGCCUGUUUGAACCUGUUGACUCAGGGCAAAUCCUCAGUUAUCUGGGCCAGUAUGAAAGAUUCUACUCAACUGCAGUUGGGCACAGGCCUCAUCUCUCAAAGCUCCAUCUUUGUAAAUCGGGAUUCGAAGGGAUAGAGAGAGUUACUUUGGGAAGGUUCAGCAAGACAGCCCAUGCACGAGACAUCAUGGCCUUUGCCAGGUUCUCUUAAACCUAGUUAGUGCUCCAAUGCAGAGCUCACUCUCACGGAGCCUCAGAGCCCUGGGCUGGUCCCACAGUGCACGGGGCAGCAGGCUCAGGCUCAGGCUUUGAGGCAGGCAGCAUCCAGCUCGACGCCCUUGGAGCGUUUCCUCAGUCUGACACCUCACAGUGUAAGUACGCUGUGCAGCAUGUCCUCCUACAUUCUGUGGUGUUCCGAAGGAAAAGGAGUAAUGAUGACAGCAAACAUUCAGGACUAUUACAUGCUGCUGAAAAAAAAAUUGAAGUAAGAGAAAUUAGAAAGUUUAUAAAAAAUCCAAUUGGGUUAAAUGAAGAAAAUACAUUUGACUUUUGUAACUAGGAAGGAACAAAUUGAUGUUCUUUUUAAAAGCAUGAAAUUUAUAAUUGUGAGACAAAGACAAUAUGUCUAAAAAAUAAUGGUCAAUAAAUUUGUUUAAAUUAAAAUGCCCCACUAAUACUUCAUAUAUUAUAUAACUUCUUGAGUGCAGUAGACAUAAAAUGUUGCCGUGAACAGCCAUUUGUCUUGUGAAUUGUGCAGUGGUAGUUCGGUGAGUCUUAGCCGUCACAGGGAGGUCCAGUUUGGAAAAGGGAGUGAAGCCCCGGCUCCUCCCUUGGGAGAAGAGCUCCCUGGAGCGCUCCUCUAGGACAGUGCUACAAACAAAUCUUUUCCUUCCUUGGAGGAAGUGGCAGAGCUUCCUGAGAAGGGAGGAUUUUAAGCUAAGAACUUGCUACCUCCAAUUUGUGUUUUAAAAGUCAGACUAAAUGUUCUAUUUCAAUUCUUACAUCCAAUUCCUGGGAGAGCCUUUAGUCUUUCGAAGGAUAAAAAAUAUGACAAUCCAGUUCAAGGAGCUCAGUUAGAUACUAUUCAUCCCAUUGAGUGAGAAUAAGACCACUAUCAAAAUUUUUGAGCCAAAUUUGAAGCAAACUUUAUUUAAUUCUGACUAGGAUGAUGGACACCGACCAUGUCCAUACUUGGGAACCUAGAGUACGGCACCAAAUCCCAUUAGUCCGUUUGAUAAAGGCAAACCCAAGGGCUAUGAACUUCUCUCCUUCAUCUACCUAGGGGCAAGCAUGUUUCCUGACUUACUUCCUGCCUAUCAUGUGACCAAGCACAGACUGUGCAGUUGGGGCAACCAAUCUUCUUUACAGAAGCAGAAACCCGUGGCUUGUUUCUUUUUUCUUUUUUUUGUUAUUUUUUUUAAUUGGGUAUUUAUUUCAUUUACAUUUCCAAUGCUAUCCUGUGAGGAGCGGGUGUGGCAGCAGUCCCAAGAAGACGCCAGGGACUGAAGCUAAGUCUUAUGACUUGCACCUGACUUCCUCAUACACCUGAAAAUAAGCCACAACCAUCGUGAGAGCUGCACAGGUGCACCAUGAUGCUGGCGGUUUAAACAAGUCCAUAUUUGGUGGAGACAUGCCCCUGCCGCCCUGAUUGGCUGAAGCUGCGUGCCUGGUGAGGUGACAUGGCCUGCUGUGAGUGGAUGGGGACUGAGAGUAUAUAAGAGUGAGAGGCCCAGGGUUCGGGGGAGAUAGAUGAGGAAAAAGAUGAAGCAAGAGAGAUGAAGACUGAAGUUUGCUGAAUAAACUGCUGUUAGAAG